RNAcentral lists this ribosomal RNA (253 nucleotides) under uncultured bacterium. Its description in RNAcentral is "partial 16S ribosomal RNA". It matches the Rfam family "Bacterial small subunit ribosomal RNA", at positions 524 to 776 of the family's 1533-position model. The record is from RNAcentral.
UACGUAGGGAGCAAGCGUUGUCCGGAAUUAUUGGGCGUAAAGGGCGCGUAGGCGGCCUGGCAAGUGGAAGGUGAAAUCCCUCGGCUUAACCGAGGAACUGCCCUCCAAACUGCUUGGCUUGAGUCCGGGAGAGGUGAGUGGAAUUCCCAGUGUAGCGGUGAAAUGCGUAGAUAUUGGGAGGAACACCAGUGGCGAAGGCGGCUCACUGGACCGGAACUGACGCUGAGGCGCGAAAGCGUGGGGAGCAAACGGG